AGUGAACGCUGGCGGUAGGCCUAACACAUGCAAGUCGAACGGCAGCACAGUAAGAGCUUGCUCUUACGGGUGGCGAGUGGCGGACGGGUGAGGAAUACAUCGGAAUCUACUUUUUCGUGGGGGAUAACGUAGGGAAACUUACGCUAAUACCGCAUACGACCUACGUGUGAAAGCAGGGGAUCUUCGGACCUUGCGCGAUUGUAUGAGCCGAUGUCGGAUUAGCUAGUGGGCGGGGGAAAGGCCCACCAAGGCGAAGAUCCGUAGCUGGUCAGAGAGGAUGAGCCGCCACUCGGAAUGUGAGACACGGCCCACACCCCAGGGGGGGGCAGGAGGGGGGAAUUUGGGAAAAGGGGCGAAGCCCUCAGCCAGCCACACCGCGUGGGUAAAAAGGGCUUUGGUGUUGAAAAGCCUUUUGUUGGGAAAGAAAAGCAGCAGGUUAAUACCCCGCUGUUCUGACGGUACCCAAAGAAUAAGCACCGGCUAACUUCGUG
This 491-nucleotide ribosomal RNA is filed under the name uncultured bacterium. RNAcentral describes it as "partial 16S ribosomal RNA". It matches the Rfam family "Bacterial small subunit ribosomal RNA", at positions 29 to 507 of the family's 1533-position model. The record is from RNAcentral.